GAUGAACGCUAGCGGCAGGCCUAACACAUGCAAGUCGAGGGGUAACUAGAGUGAUAGCAAUAUUACUUUGGCUAGACGGGCGCACGGGUGCGUAACACGUAUGCAACCUACCUUAUACUGGGGAAUAACUUCGAGAAAUCGGCGCUAAUACCCCAUAACAUUGCGAAGAGGCAUCUCUUUGCAAUUAAAGCUCCGGCGGUAUAAGAUGGGCAUGCGUCCAAUUAGCUAGUUGGUGAGGUAACGGCUCACCAAGGCUACGAUUGGUAGGGGUUCUGAGAGGAUGAUCCCCCACACUGGUACUGAGACACGGACCAGACUCCUACGGGAGGCAGCAGUGAGGAAUAUUGCGCAAUGGACGAAAGUCUGACGCAGCCAUGCCGCGUGCAGGAUGACGGCCCUAUGGGUUGUAAACUGCUUUUGUACGGGAAUAAACCCUUCUACGUGUAGGAGGCUGAAGGUACCGUAAGAAUAGGCACCGGCUAACUCCGUGCCAGCCGCCGCGGUAA
RNAcentral lists this ribosomal RNA (506 nucleotides) under uncultured bacterium. RNAcentral describes it as "partial 16S ribosomal RNA". It matches the Rfam family "Bacterial small subunit ribosomal RNA", at positions 28 to 523 of the family's 1533-position model. The record is from RNAcentral.